GACGAACGCUGGCGGCGUGCUUAACACAUGCAAGUCGAACGGUAAGGCCCUUCGGGGUACACGAGUGGCGAACGGGUGAGUAACACGUGGGUGAUCUGCCCUGCACCUCGGGAUAAGCCUGGGAAACUGGGUCUAAUACCGGAUAGGACUCCGGACUGCAUGGUCUGGGGUGGAAAGCUUUUGCGGUGUGGGAUGGGCCCGCGGCCUAUCAGCUUGUUGGUGGGGUGAUGGCCUACCAAGGCGACGACGGGUAGCCGGCCUGAGAGGGUGACCGGCCACACUGGGACUGAGAUACGGCCCAGACUCGUACGGGAGGCAGCAGUGGGGAAUAUUGCACAAUGGGCGCAAGCCUGAUGCAGCGACGCCGCGUGAGGGAUGACGGCCUUCGGGUUGUAAACCUCUUUCAGCAUCGACGAAGCGAAAGUGACGGUAGGUGCAGAAGAAGGACCGGCCAACUACGUGCCAGCCGCCGCGGUAA
RNAcentral lists this ribosomal RNA (478 nucleotides) under uncultured bacterium. Its description in RNAcentral is "partial 16S ribosomal RNA". It matches the Rfam family "Bacterial small subunit ribosomal RNA", at positions 28 to 523 of the family's 1533-position model. The record is from RNAcentral.